GACAGAGGGUGCAAACGUUGUUCGGAAUUACUGGGCGUAAAGCGAGUGUAGGCGGCAUGAAAAGUAGGGUGUGAAAGCCCUCGGCUCAACCGAGGAAUUGCGCUCUAAACUGUCGUGCUAGAGGAACCUAGAGGUGAGCAGAACUGAUGGUGGAGCGGUGAAAUGCGUUGAUAUCAUCAGGAAUACCGGAGGCGAAGGCGGCUCACUGGGGGUUUUCUGACGCUGAGGAACGAAAGCCAGGGGAGCGAACGGG
This 253-nucleotide ribosomal RNA is filed under the name uncultured bacterium. Its description in RNAcentral is "partial 16S ribosomal RNA". It matches the Rfam family "Bacterial small subunit ribosomal RNA", at positions 524 to 776 of the family's 1533-position model. The record is from RNAcentral.